CAAAUACAGCAGAUCACUCAAGGGAUGCUGAAACAUUAUUUGGUAUUCAAACAAUUCUGGAAAAAUGCAAAUACAGCAGAUCACUCAAGGGAUGCUGAAACAUUAUUUGGUAUUCAAACAACUCUGGAAAAGUAUGAUCAUCCAAUUUUGAAAAUGAACUAAAAGAUACUGAUUAUAAAGAAUUUAUGCAAUAUGCAAAUACAGCAGAUCACUCAAGGGAUGCUGAAACAUUAUUUGGUAUUCAAACAACUCUGGAAAAGUAUGAACAUCCAAUUUUGAAAAUGAACUAACGAAUACUGAUUAUAAUGAAUUUAUGCAAAUUACAUAUUGCAAUACAGCAGACAAUGAAAGCCAUGGUGAGACAUGAAUUCGCGAUUCUAUCAGUUUGGAAAAUAUAAACAUCUUAUGAUGAAAAUGGACUAGAAGAUACUGAUAAUAAUAAUUGUUUUAUUCAACGUACGUGUAGAGCUUAUAAUAGAAUAUAAUUUAUAGAAAAUUAAUAGUUAUGUAACAAAAUGUUAAUGU
Long non-coding RNA from Rhopalosiphum padi (bird cherry-oat aphid), 525 nucleotides. RefSeq lists it as uncharacterized. The record is from RefSeq and is a predicted model, not a curated record. The transcript is spliced from 4 exons. Lineage: Eukaryota; Metazoa; Arthropoda; Insecta; Hemiptera; Aphididae.